This 253-nucleotide ribosomal RNA is filed under the name uncultured bacterium. Its description in RNAcentral is "partial 16S ribosomal RNA". It matches the Rfam family "Bacterial small subunit ribosomal RNA", at positions 524 to 776 of the family's 1533-position model. The record is from RNAcentral.
UACAGAGGUCUCAACCGUUGUUCGGAUUCAUUGGGCGUAAAGGGUGCGUAGGCGGUCGCGCAAGUCGGAUGUGAAAUCUCAGGGCUCAACCCUGAAACUGCAUUCGAUACUGCGUGGCUAGAGUGCUGGAGAGGAGACUGGAAUUUACGGUGUAGCAGUGAAAUGCGUAGAUAUCGUAAGGAAGACCAGUGGCGAAGGCGACUCUCUGGACGGCAACUGACGCUGAGGCACGAAAGCGUGGGGAGCAAACAGG